Apodemus sylvaticus (European woodmouse) is the source of this 662-nucleotide long non-coding RNA. RefSeq lists it as uncharacterized. Lineage: Eukaryota; Metazoa; Chordata; Mammalia; Rodentia; Muridae. The transcript has 3 exons. The record is from RefSeq and is a predicted model, not a curated record.
GACGGCGGGGGCAAGGGCCCUCUGCUGGAGCCUCCUGGACGAACCGCUCCCUUUCCCCGCACCCUGAGCCAUCUCUCCAGCCCCAGAGAAGAUUUCUUGAGCUCGGAGCUACUCCUGUGCCUAACCCUCGUUUUAAGACCCUUUCCUUUGGCCUCCAACAGUUUCUCCCACAAGGUCUCAGAAGAUGCAGACACAGCUACAGGAUACUGCCUGGAUUGUGAUAUAAUAACUCACUGAAAAAUGCAGAGGACAAAACUGGAUACCCUGAGUCAAAUGACUUGGCUAAAAUAAAGGUGCUUACUAUACCCAUGACAGCUCCAGAGAAGCAACCUUCAGAUGCUCCAAUCUUCUCUCAGACACAGACAGCUUGUACUGGACCUGUUUCUUCUGACCUAUCCUCAGACAGCUCCACAGACCCUGGACAGCAAGGAAGCAGCCAGCUCUCCUAAGACUGCACAAACAUUUCCCCAUACCCAUCCCUCUGGGUUCCCCAGAGACACACUGCCCCCAAAGUCAGCACGAAGCAUCCAGAUAUCACGAUGACCCUUUUCCUGCUUCACUGUCACCUCUUUCUAAUUUUUUUCUUUUUUCUUUUUAAUUAAACCAACAUGGAGGAAUGUUAGGAUUCUGUCUAAGCUCCACCCCACAGCUACCUGGCAACA